This 416-nucleotide ribosomal RNA is filed under the name Citrobacter sp. Its description in RNAcentral is "bacterial SSU rRNA". It matches the Rfam family "Bacterial small subunit ribosomal RNA", at positions 123 to 534 of the family's 1533-position model. Lineage: Bacteria; Pseudomonadati; Pseudomonadota; Gammaproteobacteria; Enterobacterales; Enterobacteriaceae. The record is from RNAcentral.
AAACUGCCCGAUGGAGGGGGAUAACUACUGGAAACGGUAGCUAAUACCGCAUAACGUCGCAAGACCAAAGAGGGGGACCUUCGGGCCUCUUGCCAUCGGAUGUGCCCAGAUGGGAUUAGCUAGUAGGUGGGGUAACGGCUCACCUAGGCGACGAUCCCUAGCUGGUCUGAGAGGAUGACCAGCCACACUGGAACUGAGACACGGUCCAGACUCCUACGGGAGGCAGCAGUGGGGAAUAUUGCACAAUGGGCGCAAGCCUGAUGCAGCCAUGCCGCGUGUAUGAAGAAGGCCUUCGGGUUGUAAAGUACUUUCAGCGAGGAGGAAGGUGUUGUGGUUAAUAACCGCAGCAAUUGACGUUACUCGCAGAAGAAGCACCGGCUAACUCCGUGCCAGCAGCCGCGGUAAUACGGAGGGUG